This 66-nucleotide transfer RNA is filed under the name Bactrocera tsuneonis (Japanese orange fly). RNAcentral's name for it is "tRNA-Glu". Lineage: Eukaryota; Metazoa; Arthropoda; Insecta; Diptera; Tephritidae. The record is from RNAcentral.
AUUUAUAUAGUUUAACAAAAACAUUAUAUUUUCAUUAUAAAAAUAAAGUAAUUACUUUUAUAAAUU